This 468-nucleotide ribosomal RNA is filed under the name uncultured bacterium. Its description in RNAcentral is "partial 16S ribosomal RNA". It matches the Rfam family "Bacterial small subunit ribosomal RNA", at positions 28 to 507 of the family's 1533-position model. The record is from RNAcentral.
GACGAACGCUGGCGGCGUGCUUAACACAUGCCAGUCGAACGAAAAGGCCCUGCUUUUGUGGGGUGCUCGAGUGGCGAACGGGUGAGUAACACGUGAGUAACCUGCCCUUGACUUUGGGAUAACUUCAGGAAACUGGGGCUAAUACCGGAUAGGAGCUCCUGCUGCAUGGUGGGGGUUGGAAAGUUUCGGCGGUUGGGGAUGGACUCGCGGCUUAUCAGCUUGUUGGUGGGGUAGUGGCUUACCAAGGCUUUGACGGGUAGCCGGCCUGAGAGGGUGACCGGCCACAUUGGGACUGAGAUACGGCCCAGACUCCUACGGGAGGCAGCAGUGGGGAAUAUUGCACAAUGGGCGGAAGCCUGAUGCAGCAACGCCGCGUGCAGGAUGACGGCCUUCGGGUUGUAAACCGCUUUCGCCUGUGACGAAGCGUGAGUGACGGUAAUGGGUAAAGAAGCACCGGCUAACUACGUG